Molecule: ribosomal RNA, 343 nt
Filed under: uncultured soil bacterium
Lineage: Bacteria
Description: bacterial SSU rRNA
Rfam family: Bacterial small subunit ribosomal RNA
Source: RNAcentral
AGAUUGAACGCUGGCGGCAUGCUUUACACAUGCAAGUCGAACGGUAACAGGCCGCAAGGUGCUGACGAGUGGCGAACGGGUGAGUAAUGUAUCGGAACGUGCCCAGUCGUGGGGGAUAACGCAGCGAAAGCUGCGCUAAUACCGCAUACGAUCUAUGGAUGAAAGCGGGGGACCGUAAGGCCUCGCGCGAUUGGAGCGGCCGAUAUCAGAUUAGGUAGUUGGUGGGGUAAAGGCUCACCAAGCCAACGAUCUGUAGCUGGUCUGAGAGGACGACCAGCCACACUGGGACUGAGACACGGCCCAGACUCCUACGGGAGCAGCAGUGGGGAAUUUGGACAAUGGG